This 496-nucleotide ribosomal RNA is filed under the name uncultured bacterium. Its description in RNAcentral is "partial 16S ribosomal RNA". It matches the Rfam family "Bacterial small subunit ribosomal RNA", at positions 29 to 507 of the family's 1533-position model. The record is from RNAcentral.
AUGCACGCUGGCGGCGUGCCUAAUACAUGCCAGUCGAGCGAACAGACGAGGAGCUUGCUCCUUUGACGUUAGCGGCGGACGGGUGAGUAACACGUAGGUAACCUACCUAUAAGACUGGGAUAACUUCGGGAAACCGGAGCUAAUACCGGAUAAUAUUUCGAACCGCAUGGUUCGAUAGUGAAAGAUGGCUUUGCUAUCACUUAUAGAUGGACCUGCGCCGUAUUAGCUAGUUGGUAAGGUAACGGCUUACCAAGGCAACGAUACGUAGCCGACCUGAGAGGGUGAUCGGCCACACUGGAACUGAGACACGGUCCAGACUCCUACGGGAGGCAGCAGUAGGGAAUCUUCCGCAAUGGGCGAAAGCCUGACGGAGCAACGCCGCGUGAGUGAUGAAGGUCUUCGGAUCGUAAAACUCUGUUAUUAGGGAAGAACAAACGUGUAAGUAACUGUGCACGUCUUGACGGUACCUAAUCAGAAAGCCACGGCUAACUACGUG